Molecule: ribosomal RNA, 502 nt
Filed under: uncultured bacterium
Lineage: Bacteria
Description: partial 16S ribosomal RNA
Rfam family: Bacterial small subunit ribosomal RNA
Source: RNAcentral
ACUCAAAUGAAUUGACGGGGGCCCGCACAAGCGGUGGAGCAUGUUGUUUAAUACGUCACUAACCGUAGAACCUUACCAGGGUUUGACAUCCGCUGCACCAGUAUGAAAGUACUGUCUGGAGCAAUCCAGCGGCGAGACAGGUGUUGCAUGGCUGUCGUCAGCUCGUGUCGUGAGAUGUUGGGUUAAGUCCCGCAACGAGCGCAACCCUCAUCCCAUGUUGCCAUCGGGUGAAGCCGGGCACUCUUGGGAAACUGCCGGGGUAACUCGGAGGAAGGUGAGGACGACGUCAAGUCAGCAUGGCCCUUACACCCUGGGCUACAAACAUGCUACAAUGGACGGUAGACAAAGGGAUCCGAGACCGCGAGGUGGAGGCAAUCUCAAAAAUCCGUUCUCAGUUCGGAUCGCAGGCUGCAACUCGCCUGCGUGAAGCCGGAAUCGCUAGUAACCGCAGGUCAGCUAAACUGCGGUGAAUACGUUCCCGGGCCUUGUACACACCGCCCGU